RNAcentral lists this ribosomal RNA (497 nucleotides) under uncultured bacterium. RNAcentral describes it as "partial 16S ribosomal RNA". It matches the Rfam family "Bacterial small subunit ribosomal RNA", at positions 28 to 507 of the family's 1533-position model. The record is from RNAcentral.
GAUGAACGCUGGCGGCGUGCCUAAUACAUGCAAGUCGAGCGAACAGACGAGGAGCUUGCUCCUCUGACGUUAGCGGCGGACGGGUGAGUAACACGUGGAUAACCUACCUAUAAGACUGGGAUAACUUCGGGAAACCGGAGCUAAUACCGGAUAAUAUAUUGAACCGCAUGGUUCAAUAGUGAAAGACGGUUUUGCUGUCACUUAUAGAUGGAUCCGCGCCGCAUUAGCUAGUUGGUAAGGUAACGGCUUACCAAGGCAACGAUGCGUAGCCGACCUGAGAGGGUGAUCGGCCACACUGGAACUGAGACACGGUCCAGACUCCUACGGGAGGCAGCAGUAGGGAAUCUUCCGCAAUGGGCGAAAGCCUGACGGAGCAACGCCGCGUGAGUGAUGAAGGUCUUCGGAUCGUAAAACUCUGUUAUUAGGGAAGAACAAAGGUGUAAGUAACUAUGCACGUCUUGACGGUACCUAAUCAGAAAGCCACGGCUAACUACGUG